Condylostylus longicornis is the source of this 1181-nucleotide long non-coding RNA. RefSeq lists it as uncharacterized. The record is from RefSeq and is a predicted model, not a curated record. NCBI's taxonomy places the organism in Eukaryota, Metazoa, Arthropoda, Insecta, Diptera, Dolichopodidae. The transcript has 3 exons.
AUCAUAAUAGAAAAAAAAUUAAAUAUAUAUAAAUAUUACUUAAGUGUAUUUAAAAUAUUUUUUAUUAUCCUGUUGCUUCACACUAUAAGUACAUACGAAAUUCUCUUAAACAAUAAUUAUAAUCGUACACAAAAUGGAAAAUAUGGAAAAAAUUAUAUUUUAAUAAUAUAAUAUUAAAGAAAAUCAAAUAAUAUCAACGGAAUUGAAACAGCACACAUUUACAUUAUAUAUAAUAUUUACAUAAAAUUUAAUCAAACGUUCGCAUAUAUUAUAUUGGGCCAGAAAAUCACCACUUUCUCAUUAUUAUCAUAAGAAUAAUAAUAAUAAUAAUAAGAAUAAUAAGAAUAACAGUAAUUUUUAACAGUAUACCAAUAAUUUUUAUCAAUUGACUUUAUUUUCUUUUUGAAUAAAUUUCUGGCCAAAUAUGUAAAUAUGUUCUGUCACCAUCAGAACAUACAAGUGUUUCACAUUGGGGUUGAUACCGUGUAAUUUAUGCAAUAUUUAUUACAAUAUUUACAAAUAAUCAAUAUGAAUAUCACAUGAAAAUAAUAAUCCAGUAAAUAAAGAAAAAUAAUAAAAAAAAAAUAAAAUAUGUAUAUAAAGAGAAAUAUGAAAAUUAAAUGAAAUAUUUAAUGACAUUCACAUACAUACAUCUAUAUACAUAUACAAUUUAUAAAAUAUUUUGAUGUCAAUAAAUCGUAACGAUAAAAUAUAUAUUAUAAGGAAACAAAAAAAAACAAAAAAAAUAAUGGCAAAAUGAAAAAAUUACAAUUGAAUUCUCGAUUUAAAAAUAAUUGGGAAAAAAUUAUACAUUUAUAAAAAUUUUAAAUCCCAAAAAAAAAAAAAUAAUAAUUUUAAAUUUAAAUAAAUAAAUAAAAAACGAGAAGGAAUAAAUAAAUAAAUUAUAAAAUAUAAAAAUUAAAAUAAUAUAUAUAUAUAUGUACAUGCAUACUAAUGACUAAUAUUGAGUGCAACAAUUAUAAAAAAUAAAUAAAAUCAUUAUUAUUUAUUAUUAUAAAUUAAAUAAAUAAUUUAAUAUUUUAUUUAUUAAUAAAAAAUAAAAUAAUAAAUUAAAAGCAAAAAAAAAUAUUAAAACAAUUAUAUACCAUUUUUAUAUAUAUAUAUAUAUAUGUACAUAAUUGAAAAAUUAUUAUCAAAUCAAAGUUAAAUAAUAAACAGAA